UAAAAAAUUAAGAUUGACCUUCUAAAAUAUAUAUAUAUUUUAAGGCUAAAUUAUAGUAAAUUUUUAUUGUCAAGAAUCACUUUUUUAUUUUCUUUUCUGUCAUUUAAAAUCUAAAUUUUGUCUUGUUAAAAAAAAUAAAAAAAAUAUUUACUUUGAUCCCUGCCGUCAGUGUUUCAUUAAAUUUUCUUUUAUAUUUUAUUUUUUAAACCGAAAAUAUUUCUGAAACCCUCCUUCUUCCUCAUCUUCAGCCGCGCUGCCUCGCCCUCGCCCACCUCACAGUCCAUGCCCACACACACGUCUUCGUCCGUCUCCGCCACCUCACCCUCGCCUUUAUCCAUCUUUCCGUCCACGCCUAUCCCAAAAAGGAUAAUAUUAUUUAUUAUUAAAUUUUACUAUAAGAUUAUUUAAAACUUAUUACGCAUCUAAAAAGACGUGUUUGAUAAAAAAAUUUACUUAUU
RNAcentral lists this long non-coding RNA (458 nucleotides) under Ananas comosus (pineapple). RNAcentral describes it as "long non-coding RNA (ACOM_LNC000215)". The record is from RNAcentral. Lineage: Eukaryota; Viridiplantae; Streptophyta; Magnoliopsida; Poales; Bromeliaceae.